UUCCAAAUUCCAAAUUCAAUUUUGCUUUCCUAUACCACCAUACAUGUGCAGAACCAUAUGUCAGACAUAACUCGAAACCAACAUUACCAAAUUCAAUUUUGUUUUCCACCGUAUAUGUGCAGAUCAACAUUAACCACCACCACCACCACCAAUACCAACUGCCACCACUAUUAGCAUCAUCUUCACAACACGAAACCCUAGUCAUCUUCAUCCGCAUUCUCUUUAUCAGACCUGAGCAAACCCCAGCCACCAAAUCGGAGGCCAGAUCUGAGACUUCUGGCGGCCACAUCAAAUCAUCUCCAUCACACGAAACCCAUAGUGUAUAAACUCCGACUGCCAGAUCUGAAAACUACGGCGACCACCGCAGGCUUUAUCCAGAGAGUGGUGGUGGCAGAUGUAGAGAGAGAGAAAGUGGUGGUAGCAACCACCUAAGGAAUCCGCUGUCACCAUCAGAUCUGUUUUUUCACAUGGCUUCAACCCCCAAAUUGUGCCCAAAACAAGUUGACUGUGAACCACUUUCUAGACGAAUCUGUGUUAGUUGUGGUGGUUCUAAUGACGAGGUGGUGGUGGCGGUUUGACGGAAUUACUGUGGUGGCGGUGGUUACCGGAACUAUUGUGGUGGUGACCGGAAUCUUUGAAGAAGAUGUUGGGUUUAGAGAGAGAUAGAUGGUAGGGGUGGAAGAGAUAGACUUGGUUUUAGAAUCUGCAUAACUUAGGGUAUGUUUGGUAUGGGGUAAUGGAAUAGACAGUGGAAUGGAAUGGACGAUGUAAUGGAAUGGAUGAGAAAAGACGAAGGAAUAAAAUCGGAUGAUGGUGGUCAGUGGUGGGCAAUGACGGUGGAUGGUGAUAGGUGGCAGUUGUACCGGUGACGGUGGGUGGCGGCGGUGGUAGGUGGUGAUGGCGGCGGGUGGCGACAACGGCGGUGGUGGUGGGUGACGACGAGGUGGGUGGCGGCGGUGGCGGUGGCGAUGGUGGUGGGCGGUGGUCGGAGGUGGUAGCGGUGUCGACGAUGGGUGGCGGUAGUGGAGGUGGCGGGUCGGGCGGUGGUGGCGGCGAUGGUUACAGUGGCAGUGUUGGUAGUGGUGGUGUCGUCGCUGGGUGGUGACGGUGGUGGUCGGAGUCGGCGGCGGGGCAUUUGUAGCGGUGGAGAUGGGUGACGACGGUAGGUGGCGGUGGUGGUGGUGGUGGGUGGUGGCAAUAGUGGUGGGUUGUGGUGUUGUUAAUA
This 1225-nucleotide long non-coding RNA is filed under the name Helianthus annuus (common sunflower). RNAcentral's name for it is "hypothetical non coding rna". The record is from RNAcentral. Lineage: Eukaryota; Viridiplantae; Streptophyta; Magnoliopsida; Asterales; Asteraceae.